GCCUGGGUGGCUCAGUCGGUUGAGCGUCCGACUUUGGCUCAGGUCACAAUCUCAUGGUCCGUGGGUUCAAGCCCCGCAUUGGGCU
Molecule: transfer RNA, 85 nt
Organism: Felis catus (domestic cat)
Lineage: Eukaryota; Metazoa; Chordata; Mammalia; Carnivora; Felidae
Rfam family: tRNA
About the family: Transfer RNA (tRNA) molecules are approximately 80 nucleotides in length. Their secondary structure includes four short double-helical elements and three loops (D, anti-codon, and T loops).
Source: Rfam